This 355-nucleotide ribosomal RNA is filed under the name Lampropedia aestuarii. Its description in RNAcentral is "bacterial SSU rRNA". It matches the Rfam family "Bacterial small subunit ribosomal RNA", at positions 1 to 358 of the family's 1533-position model. Lineage: Bacteria; Pseudomonadati; Pseudomonadota; Betaproteobacteria; Burkholderiales; Comamonadaceae. The record is from RNAcentral.
GAACUAAAGAGUUUGAUCCUGGCUCAGAUUGAACGCUGGCGGCAUGCUUUACACAUGCAAGUCGAACGGCAGCAUGGGCUUCGGCCUGAUGGCGAGUGGCGAACGGGUGAGUAAUACAUCGGAACAUGCCUCGUUGUGGGGGACAACUACUCGAAAGAGUAGCUAAUACCGCAUAAGAUCUACGGAUGAAAGCAGGGGACCUUCGGGCCUUGCGCAAUGAGAGUGGCCGAUGGCAGAUUAGGUAGUUGGUGAGGUAAAGGCUCACCAAGCCUGCGAUCUGUAGCUGGUCUGAGAGGACGACCAGCCACACUGGGACUGAGACACGGCCCAGACUCCUACGGGAGGCAGCAGUGGG